Molecule: ribosomal RNA, 460 nt
Filed under: uncultured bacterium
Lineage: Bacteria
Description: partial 16S ribosomal RNA
Rfam family: Bacterial small subunit ribosomal RNA
Source: RNAcentral
CCUACGGGUGGCUGCAGUGAGGAAUAUUGGUCAAUGGGCGCGAGCCUGAACCAGUCAAGUAGCGUGAAGGAUGACUGCCCUACGGGUUGUAAACUUCUUUUGCCGGGGAGCAAGGGCCGGGACGCGUCCCGGCCCGGAGAGUACCCGGAGAAAAAGCAUCGGCUAACUCCGUGCCAGCAGCCGCGGUAAUACGGAGGAUGCGAGCGUUAUCCGGAUUUAUUGGGUUUAAAGGGUGCGUAGGCGGGCUUUUAAGUCAGCGGUAAAAAUUCGGGGCUCAACCCCGUCCGGCCGUUGAAACUGGGGGCCUUGAGUGGGCGAGAAGAAGGCGGAAUGCGUGGUGUAGCGGUGAAAUGCAUAGAUAUCACGCAGAACCCCGAUUGCGAAGGCAGCCUUCCGGCGCCCUACUGACGCUGAGGCACGAAAGUGCGGGGAUCGAACAGGAUUAGAUACCCUUGUAGUC